GCCCGCCUAGCUCAAUCGGUAGAGCGUCAGACUCUUACUGGCAUAUGGCGGGGUCAUCUGAAGGUUGUGGGUUCGACCCCCACGGUGGGCU
RNAcentral lists this transfer RNA (91 nucleotides) under Ephemerocybe angulata. Its description in RNAcentral is "Coprinellus angulatus tRNA". It matches the Rfam family "tRNA". From Rfam's summary of the family: Transfer RNA (tRNA) molecules are approximately 80 nucleotides in length. Their secondary structure includes four short double-helical elements and three loops (D, anti-codon, and T loops). The record is from Rfam by way of RNAcentral. Lineage: Eukaryota; Fungi; Basidiomycota; Agaricomycetes; Agaricales; Psathyrellaceae.